Molecule: transfer RNA, 72 nt
Filed under: Bos taurus (domestic cattle)
Lineage: Eukaryota; Metazoa; Chordata; Mammalia; Artiodactyla; Bovidae
Also listed under: 3 other names
Rfam family: tRNA
About the family: Transfer RNA (tRNA) molecules are approximately 80 nucleotides in length. Their secondary structure includes four short double-helical elements and three loops (D, anti-codon, and T loops).
Source: Rfam by way of RNAcentral
UCCCUGGUGUCCCAGCUGGUAAAGAAUCCGCCUGCAGAGCGGGAGACCUAGGUUCGAUCCCUGGGUUGGGAA